UACGGGGGGGGCAAGCGUUGUUCGGAAUUACUGGGCGUAAAGGGCUCGUAGGCGGCCAACUAAGUCAGACGUGAAAUCCCUCGGCUUAACCGGGGAACUGCCUCUGAUACUGGAUGGCUUGAGAUUGGGAGAGGGAUGCGGAAUUCCAGGUGUAGCGGUGAAAUGCGUAGAUAUCGGGAGGAACACCGGUGGCGAAGGCGGGUCUCUGGGCAUCUCCUGACGCUGAGGCGCGAAAGCGUGGGGAGCGAACAGG
Molecule: ribosomal RNA, 253 nt
Filed under: uncultured bacterium
Lineage: Bacteria
Description: partial 16S ribosomal RNA
Rfam family: Bacterial small subunit ribosomal RNA
Source: RNAcentral